RNAcentral lists this long non-coding RNA (950 nucleotides) under Mus musculus (house mouse). RNAcentral's name for it is "long non-coding RNA chr18:69570682-69571632". Lineage: Eukaryota; Metazoa; Chordata; Mammalia; Rodentia; Muridae. The record is from RNAcentral.
GGACAGGAUAUUUGGUUGGGAGCCAUUUCCUUCUAGCUAUUAAAAGUUCACAGACUGAGCAGUGCUUAGAUUUUAACAGCAAAAAAAAAAAAAAAAAAAAAAAAAAAAAUCCCCUUCCAGUCGGUGACAAUUUGAAACAAUUUCCACAGAAUUUGAAAGGUUUUAUUUGAAGUCAUAAAUCAGAGACGGACCUCUGGGGGGGCUAAAUGCGAUUUCAUCAAAAAGAGCAAAGUUGUAUUUUCCUAAGGCAGACUAACCAUAGGCAGGCUGUUGACUGGCACCUGCUUUGUUUCAUUUUAAGAGUAAAUUGCAUUGAAUUUUAAGUCCGUAUUUCAAAGGAAUAGCCUGGGUCUGUACUGUCCAGGGCGUGUCUGUGUAGCCACUGUGUCCCCUUUCAAAGAGCAGGAACUUUCCUAAGACGCAGGCAGAUUCUGUAGUUUUAAGGACCGGAUUGUUUGAUCUCCGAACAGCAACACGGGAAUGAUGGUGUUCUCCCUUUCAAAGCUGCUUCCUGGGCAUAGCAAGCCCUGCCGGCUUUCACUUGAGCACACACGCCCCCUUCAUGGAAGUUAAGGUACUGCAGACGAUUCCCUGCAUCCCACCUCAGAGCCGAAAGCUGGGAUGAGCUAAAUUCUGUCCAGGUGUUUAGAUGUCAGUCCGAAACAAAAGCGAAAGCUGUACUUUUGCAAUAUAUAUAUAUAUUUUAAAGUUAUGACUCAGCCUCCGGGGCACUCAGGAGAGAUUCUGGGUGUGCGAAGCUUCAGUAGAUGUGUUUUGAUUAUUCGGAGAUUAUUUUGAUGAUUUGGAGAAAAAUAGGGGCGCGCCUCAGCUUUAUAGACCUGUCUUCAAAGCUAACUGGUGGGGAAAUGUCGUGGUGUCCUGCCACGCUGGUGCUGACUAAAGGGCACAUCCUUGUGAAGUAUGGAUUCAUAGUAGAAAGGUUUAUUUUC